Molecule: ribosomal RNA, 253 nt
Filed under: uncultured bacterium
Lineage: Bacteria
Description: partial 16S ribosomal RNA
Rfam family: Bacterial small subunit ribosomal RNA
Source: RNAcentral
UACGUAGGGUGCGAGCGUUGUCCGGAUUUAUUGGGCGUAAAGAGCUCGUAGGCGGUUUGUCGCGUCGGCCGUGAAAUCUCCACGCUUAACGUGGAGCGUGCGGUCGAUACGGGCAGACUUGAGUUCGGUAGGGGAGACUGGAAUUCCUGGUGUAGCGGUGAAAUGCGCAGAUAUCAGGAGGAACACCGGUGGCGAAGGCGGGUCUCUGGGCCACUACUGACGCUGAGGAGCGAAAGCAUGGGGAGCGAACAGG